UCCAGCCAUGCCGCGUGAGUGACGAAGGUCUUCGGAUUGUAAAGCUCUUUUGGCGGGGACGAUAAUGACGGUACCCGCAGAAUAAGCCCCGGCUAACUUCGUGCCAGCAGCCGCGGUAAUACGAAGGGGGCUAGCGUUGUUCGGAAUUACUGGGCGUAAAGCGCACGUAGGCGGAUUGCUAAGUCAGGGGUGAAAUCCCGGGGCUCAACCUCGGAACUGCCUUUGAUACUGACAGUCUUGAGUCCGGAAGAGGUGAGUGGAAUUCCUAGUGUAGAGGUGAAAUUCGUAGAUAUUAGGAAGAACACCAGUGGCGAAGGCGGCUCACUGGUCCGGUACUGACGCUGAGGUGCGAAASGUGGGGAGCAAACAGGAUUAGAUACCCUGGUAGUCCACGCCGUAAACUAUGGAUGCUAGCCGUCGGCAAGCUUGCUUGUCGGUGGCGCASUAACGCUUUAAGCAUCCCGCCUGGGGAGUACGGCCGCAAGUUAAAACUCAAAGGAAUUGACGGGGGCCCGCACAAGCGGUGGAGCAUGUGGUUUAAUUCGACGCAACGSAAGAACCUUACCAGCU
Molecule: ribosomal RNA, 570 nt
Filed under: uncultured bacterium
Lineage: Bacteria
Description: bacterial SSU rRNA
Rfam family: Bacterial small subunit ribosomal RNA
Source: RNAcentral